GCCGGAUAGCAAAGCGGUUAUGCAGGGGUCUGCAAAGCCUUACAGACCAGUUCGACUCUGGUUCCGGCCUCCAU
Molecule: transfer RNA, 74 nt
Filed under: Bathymodiolus azoricus thioautotrophic gill symbiont
Lineage: Bacteria; Pseudomonadati; Pseudomonadota; Gammaproteobacteria
Description: tRNA-Cys
Rfam family: tRNA
About the family: Transfer RNA (tRNA) molecules are approximately 80 nucleotides in length. Their secondary structure includes four short double-helical elements and three loops (D, anti-codon, and T loops).
Source: RNAcentral